RNAcentral lists this ribosomal RNA (468 nucleotides) under uncultured bacterium. RNAcentral's name for it is "partial 16S ribosomal RNA". It matches the Rfam family "Bacterial small subunit ribosomal RNA", at positions 28 to 507 of the family's 1533-position model. The record is from RNAcentral.
GACGAACGCUGGCGGCGUGCUUAACACAUGCAAGUCGAACGGAAAGGCCCUGCUUUUGUGGGGUGCUCGAGUGGCGAACGGGUGAGUAACACGUGAGUAACCUGCCCUUGACUUUGGGAUAACUGCAGGAAACUGGGGCUAAUACCGGAUAGGAGCUCCUGCUGCAUGGUGGGGGUUGGAAAGUUUCGGCGGUAGGGGAUGGACUCGCGGCUUAUCAGCUUGUUGGGGGGGGAGUGGCUUACCAAGGCUUUGACGGGUAGCCGGCCUGAGAGGGUGACCGGCCACAUUGGGACUGAGAUACGCCCCAGACUCCUACGGGAGGCAGCAGUGGGGAAUAUUGCACAAUGGGCGGAAGCCUGAUGCAGCAACGCCGCGUGCGGGAUGACGGCCUUCGGGUUGUAAACCGCUUUCGCCUGUGACGAAGCGUGAGUGACGGUAAUGGGUAAAGAAGCACCGGCUAACUACGUG